AAAAAAAAAAAAUAUAAAAAAAUGUGAAAAUAAAAAAAUUAACGAAAAAAUAAAGAAAAUAAAGAAAAUCAUUUACUAAAAUAAAAUAAAGAAAAUAUUUGGUCAAAUAAUUAUUGCCGUAAGAAAAUCUUUUACUAUUAAUAUGAUGAAAGGUAAUCUAUAAAAAAUAUUAGGGUAAAUAUCAUAUUAAACCUUGAACUAUACCCGUUUUAUCAAAAAUACCCUGAAACUUUUGAAAUGCUUUCAAAACCCUCAAAGUAUCAGGGUUUUAUCAAAUAUACCCCGCAUCUCUUUUCCGGCCAUCAGAAAAGUGACGUNUAGUAGAAUUCCCGAUUAUCGCUCAGAAGAUUAGUUCAUGCAUAAAAGAUUCAUGCAUAGUUAAAUUACGCUUUCUCAUUAAUUGAGAAUUUUCCUCGAGCCAAUGUCUUAUUUUAUAUUCUCGUGAUUAAAGGUCAAGCGCGAGAGUAAGAACUACACAAGGAGUUAGAGUACCUUAACAAAACUUUGCUAUCAGGUGGGCAAUUUCUUACGCGUAAAUAAAAUGCUAUGCAAGUGUUAUACUUUAAAAUGCAAAUUGGAUCUUCAAGUGUGGUAUGCUUUAUUACGCUUAAAUGAGUUAAGCUUUAUUAUGUUGCACGUUAAAUGAUUUACGCUAUGAUGUUUAUACUAUUUACGCCCUAUGUAAUUUACGCUUGAUUACGCUUAUUUACGCUUGAAUGCUUUACGCUGAUAAAUUUAUGCUUAUGUUUGAUGCUUGCGUCUGUUGGGGGAGGCCUCCCUCAACAGUACGAUGCCGUGUCCGCUGAGGAGGGCCUUCCUCACGGCGCGAUGCCCGUGUCCGCUGAGGGAGGCCUCCCUCGCGGCGCGAUGCCUGUAUGCCAGUGUUCCAGCGUCCGUUGGGGGAAACCACCCUCGACGGUACGAUACUAGCGUCUAUUGGGGGAGGCCUCCCUCAAUAGUACGAUGCCGUGACCGUUGAGGGAGGCCCCUCUCACGGCACGAUGCCCGUGUUCAUUGGGGAAGGCCUUCUCCACGACACGAUGCUUGUUUAUGAUUGUUAAUGAUGAAGAAUGCGCUCAUGCUAUAUAUAUUUUUGGGAAAUGUUUAGCAAGCAAAGGAUUUGAAAGAAACUCAUGCCUCUUAUGCGAUAAUGUGGUUUAUUGAUGAUGUUAUGUUUAUGCUUUAGUUUCGGCAACUGCCCACUAAGUACUCUUGUACUUAGCCCUUCGUAUGUUUAUGUUUGUGCAGGUUGAGCUGUGAUGGGCGAUGAAGUGUUGCUGAGUGGAGUUUUUGUCGAACUUAAAGUAGGCUCAGAAAGGAUACAUGUCUUCAUACAUGUAUCUUAGUUAUGCUUUUCGCUGUAAACACUGAUUAUUUCAGUGACGCCUUCCGCUGCAAACGCUGAUUAUGUUUUAGUCAAGCCUCUAGCUAUGCCUUUUUCCUUUCAAGAAAUAUUUCACGCUUAUUCAAGUUCUUCAAGUACCCUUGUAUUAUGCGCCCUUUUUAACCCCGCUUCUUAAUUUCUCUUCCCCAGUCAUGCUUUUCCCGGCUUAAUUAUCCUUAAUUAAGGCCGGUUGUGAUAGGCAAGCUAUGGAUAGCUUGUUCUCCUUGAUUUUCUCGGAACCUACGCACAUUCUUUCAAGAAUGUCCCACAUCUCCUUUGCAGUUCCGCACUUGAUGAUCUUGGUGACAUGCUUGUCUGUAGGGGUGAGCAAAAUACCCGAAAUCCGAAUAUCCGAUCCGAUCCAAUCCGAAAUUUAAACUUUGGUUCGGAUUAAUCGGAUCUUUGGAUCGGAUCGGAUCGAAUUUUAAGAAAAAUUCGGAUAUUCGGAUCGGAUCGGAUCAGUACUUUUCAAAUCCGAACUAAUCCGAAAUCCGAAUUGUAUUUAAUAUAUAUCAAAAUAUAUAUAUAUAUAUAUAUAUAUAUAUAAAUUUUGAAUUAUUGAAUAUGUUAAAAAGUAAAACCUAAACCCUAAUUCCCUAAACUAAAUCAGCGCCGCACAGCCACAGCUCCACCACCGCGCCUUGUCUGACUCCCAUCGCUCUCCAGUCUCCACCACCGCGCGGUCCGCGCCGUCCCACCCCGCCUACUCUGCGCCUGCAAUCCCCCACCACGCCACCUCCGCGCUUGCAAUCCCCCAGAGCAGCUCGAAGCUCGAGUGCAGAGCGCCGCAGAUCUGCGCCUCUCUUCCCGACGGCCGACGCCCUCCACCUCUGACCUCAGAGUUUCAGACACCCUCCCCAGAGCACCUCAUCGGCGCGUCAUUCCUUCAGGCUGCAGGUAGGUUCGAUUUUAGUUUUUAGUGAACCUCAAGAAUGUUGAAAAUUGAUGCUUAAUUAUGACUUAUGACUUAUGAGUUAUGAUUGUGUUCGAAUUUUGUUGAUGUGUUCGAAUUUUUCAGCCUUAUGAAUUGGUGCAGUUGUUUCAAUUUUGUUCGAAUGAAUUGGUGCAGCCUUAUGAAUUGUGUUCGAAUUUUUC
This 2479-nucleotide long non-coding RNA is filed under the name Salvia miltiorrhiza (redroot sage). RNAcentral describes it as "long non-coding RNA (SMIL_LNC007716)". Lineage: Eukaryota; Viridiplantae; Streptophyta; Magnoliopsida; Lamiales; Lamiaceae. The record is from RNAcentral.